CGGGACGGGUGAGUAACGCGUGGAUAACCUGCCUCACACUGGGGGAUAACAGUUAGAAAUGGCUGCUAAUACCGCAUAAGCGCACAGUACCGUAUGGUACGGUGUGAAAAACCCAGGUGGUGUGAGAUGGAUCCGCGUCUGAUUAGCCAGUUGGCGGGGUAACGGCCCACCAAAGCGACGAUCAGUAGCCGACCUGAGAGGGUGACCGGCCACAUUGGGACUGAGACACGGCCCAA
Molecule: ribosomal RNA, 236 nt
Filed under: uncultured bacterium
Lineage: Bacteria
Description: partial 16S ribosomal RNA
Rfam family: Bacterial small subunit ribosomal RNA
Source: RNAcentral